This 65-nucleotide transfer RNA is filed under the name Triticum aestivum (bread wheat). It matches the Rfam family "tRNA", at positions 5 to 66 of the family's 71-position model. From Rfam's summary of the family: Transfer RNA (tRNA) molecules are approximately 80 nucleotides in length. Their secondary structure includes four short double-helical elements and three loops (D, anti-codon, and T loops). Lineage: Eukaryota; Viridiplantae; Streptophyta; Magnoliopsida; Poales; Poaceae. The record is from Rfam by way of RNAcentral.
GCAUAGCGCAGUGGAUUAGCGUGUCUGACUUCGGAUCGGAAGGUCGUGGGUUCGACUCCCGAUGC